This is a non-coding RNA of Gopherus evgoodei (Goodes thornscrub tortoise), 75 nucleotides long. Lineage: Eukaryota; Metazoa; Chordata; Testudines; Testudinidae. The record is from the annotation of a RefSeq genome assembly.
GGCACCAUGGCUUAACUGGCUUAAAACACCUUUCUCAUAAACAGGAGAUCCUGGGUUCAACUCCCAGUGGUGCCU